ACGUAGGGUGCGAGCGUUGUCCGGAAUCAUUGGGCGUAAAGAGCGCGUAGGCGGGUGAAUCAGUCUGAUGUGAAAGCCAAAGGCUUAACCUUUGACAGCCGUUUGAAACUAUUGGGCUAGAGUACGGGAGAGGAGAGUGGAAUUCCUGGUGUAGAGGUGAAAUUCGUAGAUAUCAGGAGGAACACCGGUGGCGAAGGCGACUUUCUGGCACUAUACUGACGCUGAGACGCGAGAGCGUGGGUAGCAAACAG
Molecule: ribosomal RNA, 251 nt
Filed under: uncultured prokaryote
Description: partial 16S rRNA
Rfam family: Bacterial small subunit ribosomal RNA
Source: RNAcentral